This 63-nucleotide transfer RNA is filed under the name Mutilla europaea. RNAcentral describes it as "tRNA-Trp". Lineage: Eukaryota; Metazoa; Arthropoda; Insecta; Hymenoptera; Mutillidae. The record is from RNAcentral.
AAAAUUUUAAGUUAUUUAAACUAUUAGUCUUCAAAACUAAAAAUAUUUUAUUAAUAAAUUUUA